GGCUCAGAUUGAACGCUGGCGGCAGGCCUAACACAUGCAAGUCGAGCGGUAGAGAGAAGCUUGCUUCUCUUGAGAGCGGCGGACGGGUGAGUAAUGCCUAGGAAUCUGCCUGGUAGUGGGGGAUAACGUUCGGAAACGGACGCUAAUACCGCAUACGUCCUACGGGAGAAAGCAGGGGACCUUCGGGCCUUGCGCUAUCAGAUGAGCCUAGGUCGGAUUAGCUAGUUGGUGGGGUAAUGGCUCACCAAGGCGACGAUCCGUAACUGGUCUGAGAGGAUGAUCAGUCACACUGGAACUGAGACACGGUCCAGACUCCUACGGGAGGCAGCAGUGGGGAAUAUUGGACAAUGGGCGAAAGCCUGAUCCAGCCAUGCCGCGUGUGUGAAGAAGGUCUUCGGAUUGUAAAGCACUUUAAGUUGGGAGGAAGGGC
RNAcentral lists this ribosomal RNA (430 nucleotides) under Pseudomonas sp. R-37907. Its description in RNAcentral is "bacterial SSU rRNA". It matches the Rfam family "Bacterial small subunit ribosomal RNA", at positions 21 to 453 of the family's 1533-position model. Lineage: Bacteria; Pseudomonadati; Pseudomonadota; Gammaproteobacteria; Pseudomonadales; Pseudomonadaceae. The record is from RNAcentral.